UACGGAGGGGGCGAGCGAUGUUCGGAAUUACUGGGCGUAAAGGGCGCGUAGGCGGCGCGUCAAGUCCGGCGUGAAAGUCCUGGGCUCAACCCGGGGACGGCGCUGGAGACUGACGGGCUCGAGUCUGGGAGAGGAUGGCGGAAUUCCCAGUGUAGAGGCGAAAUUCGUAGAUAUUGGGAAGAACACCGGUGGCGAAGGCGGCCAUCUGGACCGGCACUGACGCUGAGGCGCGAAAGCGUGGGGAGCAAACAGG
Molecule: unclassified non-coding RNA, 253 nt
Filed under: uncultured Alphaproteobacteria bacterium
Lineage: Bacteria; Pseudomonadati; Pseudomonadota; Alphaproteobacteria
Description: contains 16S-23S intergenic spacer region
Rfam family: Bacterial small subunit ribosomal RNA
Source: RNAcentral